CUUGGCCGCGUGCCUGACACAUGCCAUUUCGAACGCCACUGGGGGCUUCGGCUCCCGUAUGAGUGGCGAACGGGUGAGUAACACGUGGGUGAUCUACCUUCGAGUGGGGGAUAACGUUCCGAAAGGAACGCUAAUACCGCAUGACGUUCUGGGUUUAAAGACCUGGAAACCAAAGCUGGGGACCGCAAGGCCUGGCGCUUGAAGAGGAGCCCGCGUCCGAUUAGCUAGUUGGCGGGGUAAUGGCCCACCAAGGCGACGAUCGGUAGCCGGCCUGAGAGGGCGGACGGCCACACUGGGACUGAUACACGGCCCAGACUCCUACGGGAUGCAACAGUGGGGAAUUGUUCACUAUGGGCGCAAGCCUGAUGACGCAACGCCCCAUGAGGGAUGAAAGCCUUCGGGUCGUAAACCCCUGUCCAAUGGGACAAAAGACUCCCGAAGUUAAUACUCCGCGAGGGUGGACGGUAC
This 468-nucleotide ribosomal RNA is filed under the name uncultured bacterium. RNAcentral describes it as "bacterial SSU rRNA". It matches the Rfam family "Bacterial small subunit ribosomal RNA", at positions 36 to 478 of the family's 1533-position model. The record is from RNAcentral.